GGGGUGGUAGCUCAGUCGGGAGAGCAGUUUACAGCGAUUAAGGAUCUGACAACAGAAUCCUGAUCAACAUCAGAGGCCUCGGUUUUGUUUUCAGGUCUCGCUGUAAGCAGGUCGGGGGUUCAAUACCCUCCCACUCCACCA
Molecule: transfer RNA, 141 nt
Filed under: Candidatus Peregrinibacteria bacterium
Lineage: Bacteria; Candidatus Peregrinibacteriota
Description: tRNA-OTHER
Rfam family: tRNA
About the family: Transfer RNA (tRNA) molecules are approximately 80 nucleotides in length. Their secondary structure includes four short double-helical elements and three loops (D, anti-codon, and T loops). Further hydrogen bonds mediate the characteristic L-shaped molecular structure. tRNAs have two regions of fundamental functional importance: the anti-codon, which is responsible for specific mRNA codon recognition, and the 3' end, to which the tRNAs corresponding amino acid is attached (by aminoacyl-tRNA synthetases). tRNAs cope with the degeneracy of the genetic code in two manners: having more than one tRNA (with a specific anti-codon) for a particular amino acid; and 'wobble' base-pairing, i.e. permitting non-standard base-pairing at the 3rd anti-codon position.
Source: RNAcentral